RNAcentral lists this long non-coding RNA (926 nucleotides) under Danio rerio (zebrafish). Its description in RNAcentral is "lncRNA (ENSDARG00000117700.1)". Lineage: Eukaryota; Metazoa; Chordata; Actinopteri; Cypriniformes; Danionidae. The record is from RNAcentral.
GUAAACAUUGUUAUCUUGCUUUCCUUUUCACUUUUCCUUUUCCCUUUAUUCGGCUUUUUAGGUCUCACUCACCCUGAGCCCGGUUAUAAGUCUCGAUCUGGGUGUCCAUUACUAAUCGAUUUAAAGGAGAGAGUGCAACGCGAAAUAAUAGCUCAUCCAUGAGGAGAAAGAACAAGGGAAUUAUCCCAUCGCAAGACGUAUAACAAUGACUUAAUCAGCAUUUAUGGAGAGGCGACGCAUCUGUGUGGAUGGGACCUGUACGUUGUUAUGGAAAACAGAUGCAUUUAUGGCCACAGGGAGUUUCUGUGCGACUCUCUCUCUCUUUCUCUCUCGCGGCGAGAUCUUAAGCAGAGAAAAGUGAAACGUGGAGAAUUGGUGGAGGCGAACGGAGUCACCAUGACAAAUCAUAUUCUCUGGAGAUGAAGAGAAAAGGCCCUGGAAAAAGGAAAAAUGAGAGACGCAUGGAGGGGAUGGAGAGGCAAAAAGCCAUUUUGGAAAGCCGUGGUGCUGGAAAGCCGGAUCAGUCUGAGCGCUGCCUUUGACAAAGUGCUCUGAGGAAACCAUCACACACACAUACACAAACACUGGUGAUGAUAGUUGUGGUUGUUGUUGAAGAAUUAAGUAUGACCUUCACUCUAAUCGUGUUAGACAUUGGAAGGAAAGCGUCUAAUCAUCAAUCACUCAGCAGUCAGUAGAGUGGAAAGAUCACCCAACUCAAACACAGCGGGGACAAACAACAGCAUGCGGGGCUGUGACUGUACCAGCCCACCUUCACGUUCACCAUUAUCGCCAGGGUUGUCCUUCGCUUAGGAUCUUCAAGCAGUUUUUAAUGGCAUGGAUAAAGCGUGUUUAUGUCAUUGACAUCGUGUUCAAUUUACAAAGGAAAUGUUUUGUGGCCAUUGUUUUGGCCAUUGAUUUGCAGGGCA